CCAGCGUGCACGCCUUGGGGAGCGGCCGAAGGACCCGCGUGCUUGCCGCCUGCCCCGCUUGAAUCAGGGUGCUCCACCCUGGCUGCACUUCGGGGACCCCGGGGCUUCUCAGGGGGUCCCAGGCCCCUGCAGGGUCCCCCCAGUGAGUCCCAAGUGCUCCUGGGGCAGCCCCGGGAGGUUUGCAACUGGGAGACGCGCAGGGAGGACGCCCCGCAAGACCGAGGGGGGAGGGAGCCGGGACAGGGCCGAGGAGGAGGGGCCUGGCACAGAGGAGCCACAGCAUCUCAUCCUGGGUGUCAACUUCCACGCCUUCAGCUGCCCGCUCUGCAGCGCGGGCCAAGCGGCCUUGCAAACCAGCCCCAGCACCCGCGUGCAAACCAGCCCCAGUGCCCGUGUGCAAACCAGCCCAGAGCCCCGCGUGCAAACCAGCUCCAGCGCCCGCGUGCAAACCAGCCCCAGCACCCGCGUGCAAAGCACCACGCGGGGUUCCCGCCCCUCCCCCACGACCCGUCUCUGUGCUGCACACCUCUGCCCCCCGCCUGCCGCUCAGGGAGGCCCUGGCGUGGCCUCGGCCGCCACGCUCUCUUGCACAUCCUCGCCGCUCUGCUGGGGGCAUCGCCAGACCCAGCGCCUCAAGCCUGUGGAGCGCAGCCAGCAUCUCGCGCCCCUCUGUCUACUCCCAGCCCCGCGUCUUGCAUUCCCCGUCUCACUCAGAGUCGAAUCCAAAGUCCUCCCAGUGAGCACGGCCAUCCUCCCCGACAGCAGGCACCUCUGACCGCACGCCCCUCACCCCUGCGCUCCAGCCUUGCUGGUGUCCCGGCCCCGGACCUUCUGCUCCUUCUGUCCUCCAAAGCCCAGCUGUCUUUAUUCGAGUGUCUGCUUGACUGUCGCACCCCCAGCCACCUGCCCCAGGACUCUGCCCCGUCCCCCCGGCCCUCCCCCCCGGUCACUGUGCCGACAGCCCUUCCGCGGGUCCAGCACAAACCUCGCGUGCUGUGGAUUUGGUGGGGGAGGGGCCUUGGCCUGUCUGCUUGCAGCUGCACACCUGGGCCCAGCACCCCGUCAACACGCCGAACACACGGAUGA
RNAcentral lists this long non-coding RNA (1086 nucleotides) under Oryctolagus cuniculus (rabbit). RNAcentral describes it as "lncRNA (ENSOCUG00000030450.1)". The record is from RNAcentral. Lineage: Eukaryota; Metazoa; Chordata; Mammalia; Lagomorpha; Leporidae.